This 968-nucleotide long non-coding RNA is filed under the name Homo sapiens (human). Its description in RNAcentral is "long non-coding RNA NONHSAT149827.1". Lineage: Eukaryota; Metazoa; Chordata; Mammalia; Primates; Hominidae. The record is from RNAcentral.
UGAACACCUCGACCUUCUCUGCACAGCAGGUGAAUGAUCCCUGAGCAGCUGAAGACCAGAAAAGCCACUAAGACUUUCUGCUUAAUUCAGGAGCUUAGAGGAUUCUUCAAAGAGUGUGUCCAGCAUCCUUUGAAGCAUGAGUUCUUACCAGCAGAAGCAGACCUUUACCCCACCACCUCAGCUUCAACAGCAGCAGGUGAAACAACCCAGCCAGCCUCCACCUCAGGAAAUAUUUGUUCCCACAACCAAGGAGCCAUGCCACUCAAAGGUUCCACAACCUGGAAACACAAAGAUUCCAGAGCCAGGCUGUACCAAGGUCCCUGAGCCAGGCUGUACCAAGGUCCCUGAGCCAGGCUGUACCAAGGUCCCUGAGCCAGGUUGUACCAAGGUCCCUGAGCCAGGCUGUACCAAGGUCCCUGAGCCAGGUUGUACCAAGGUCCCUGAGCCAGGCUACACCAAGGUCCCUGAACCAGGCAGCAUCAAGGUCCCUGACCAAGGCUUCAUCAAGUUUCCUGAGCCAGGUGCCAUCAAAGUUCCUGAGCAAGGAUACACCAAAGUUCCUGUGCCAGGCUACACAAAGCUACCAGAGCCAUGUCCUUCAACGGUCACUCCAGGCCCAGCUCAGCAGAAGACCAAGCAGAAGUAAUUUGGUGCACAGACAAGCCCUUGAGAAGCCAACCACCAGAUGCUGGACACCCUCUUCCCAUCUGUUUCUGUGUCUUAAUUGUCUGUAGACCUUGUAAUCAGCACAUUGUCACCCCAAGCCAUAGUCUCUCUCUUAUUUGUAUCCUAAAAAUACGUACUAUAAAGCUUUUGUUCACACACACUCUGAAGAAUCCUGUAAGCCCCUGAAUUAAGCAGAAAGUCUUCAUGGCUUUUCUGGUCUUCGGCUGCUCAGGGUUCAUCUGAAGAUUCGAAUGAAAAGAAAUGCAUGUUUCCUGCUCUUCCCUCAUUAAAUUGCUUUUAAU